This 125-nucleotide small RNA is filed under the name Protocruzia adhaerens. Its description in RNAcentral is "Protocruzia adherens partial transfer-messenger RNA". Lineage: Eukaryota; Ciliophora; Spirotrichea. The record is from RNAcentral.
CCUCGAAAAGAUGGAAACAAAUAAACGCAAACAACGCCAUCGAACGGUGGCGAUAGAGAGCCAAAUCCGGUGUGUAAUAAAUGGAUCAUUCUCUUUGACCGUAAAGAACAGGGUUUCCUGGGCCU